AUUGAACGCUGGCGGUAUGCUUAACACAUGCAAGUCGAACGGCAGCACGGUCUGUAGUAAUACAGAUGGGUGGCGAGUGGCGGACGGGUGAGUAAUACGCAGGAAUCUGCCCUAUAGAGGGGGAUAACUCGAGGAAACUCGAGCUAAUACCGCAUAGUCUCUACGGAGUAAAGCUGGGGCAACCUGGCGCUAUAGGAGGAGCCUGCGUCUGAUUAGCUAGUUGGUGGGGUAAAGGCCUACCAAGGCGACGAUCAGUAGGUGGUCUGAGAGGAUGAUCACCCACACUGGGACUGAGACACGGCCCAGACUCCUACGGGAGGGAGCAGUGGGGAAUAUUGGACAAUGGGGGCAACCCUGAUCCAGCAAUACCGCGUGUGUGAAGAAGGCCUUAGGGUUGUAAAGCACUUUAGGCGGGGAAGAAGGUAUGUAUUUUAAGAGAUAACAUAUUUGACGGUACCCGCAGAAUAAGCACCGGCUAACUCUGUGCCAGCAGCCGCCGUAA
This 502-nucleotide ribosomal RNA is filed under the name uncultured bacterium. RNAcentral describes it as "partial 16S ribosomal RNA". It matches the Rfam family "Bacterial small subunit ribosomal RNA", at positions 30 to 523 of the family's 1533-position model. The record is from RNAcentral.